RNAcentral lists this long non-coding RNA (257 nucleotides) under Brassica napus (rape). RNAcentral's name for it is "long non-coding RNA (BNAP_LNC025126)". Lineage: Eukaryota; Viridiplantae; Streptophyta; Magnoliopsida; Brassicales; Brassicaceae. The record is from RNAcentral.
GGGUUUGAAUGGUAACCAAGGGAACGAAAAGGAACACUACAUUCCUUAACGUUUCUCAAAAAUGUUACCAUUCAUGAGGAAUAUUUUUUCCUCUUCAUUCCUCAUCAUUCCCUUUUUUGUAGAGAAUUAUAAUGCAAAUUUGUUCCUUGUUAAUUUUGAUAAGGAACUCUCAUUCCUCAUCAUUCCCAAAUUUUUAUUCCUAUUCAUUCUUUUCCUAUUCAUUCCUAAUGUUCUUCGAUGGUUACCAGUCACACCCU